GACGAACGCUGGCGGCGUGCUUAACACAUGCAAGUCGAGCGGUAAGGCCCUUUCGGGGGUACACGAGCGGCGAACGGGUGAGUAACACGUGGGUGACCUGCCCUCAGCUCUGGGAUAAGCCUGGGAAACCGGGGUCUAAUACCGGAUAUGACUCCAUGACGCAUGUUGUGGGGUGGAAAGCCUUGUGCGGCUGAGGAUGGGCCCGCGGCCUAUCAGCUUGUUGGUGGGGGUGANGGCCUACCAAGGCGACGACGGGUAGCCGGCCUGAGAGGGCGACCGGCCACACUGGGACUGAGACACGGCCCAGACUCCUACGGGAGGCAGCAGUGGGGAAUCUUGCGCAAUGGGCGAAAGCCUGACGCAGCGACGCCGCGUGAGGGAUGACGGCCUC
RNAcentral lists this ribosomal RNA (391 nucleotides) under uncultured bacterium. Its description in RNAcentral is "bacterial SSU rRNA". It matches the Rfam family "Bacterial small subunit ribosomal RNA", at positions 28 to 418 of the family's 1533-position model. The record is from RNAcentral.